GCUGGGCGUGGUGGCACAUGCCUGUAAUCCCAGCUACUUGGGAGGCUGAGGCAGGUGAAUCGCCUGAACCCAGGAGGUGGAGGGUGCAGUGAGCCGAGAUUGUGCCACUGCCCUCCAGCCUGGGCAACAGAGUGAGACUCUGUCUCAA
RNAcentral lists this non-coding RNA (148 nucleotides) under Gorilla gorilla gorilla (western lowland gorilla). Lineage: Eukaryota; Metazoa; Chordata; Mammalia; Primates; Hominidae. The record is from Rfam by way of RNAcentral.